GGCGGAUCGUCGCUGGUGGACGGGGGGGACUUCGACCUCGACGCGGCCAGGAUCCGGCGGUUCGA
RNAcentral lists this transfer RNA (65 nucleotides) under Thalassiosira punctigera. RNAcentral describes it as "partial Selenocysteine transfer RNA". The record is from RNAcentral. Lineage: Eukaryota; Bacillariophyta; Thalassiosirophyceae; Thalassiosirales; Thalassiosiraceae.